This 492-nucleotide ribosomal RNA is filed under the name uncultured bacterium. RNAcentral's name for it is "partial 16S ribosomal RNA". It matches the Rfam family "Bacterial small subunit ribosomal RNA", at positions 29 to 507 of the family's 1533-position model. The record is from RNAcentral.
AGUGAACGCUGGCGGUAGGCCUAACACAUGCAAGUCGAACGGCAGCACAGUAAGAGCUUGCUCUUACGGGUGGCGAGUGGCGGACGGGUGAGGAAUACAUCGGAAUCUACUUUUUCGUGGGGGAUAACGUAGGGAAACUUACGCUAAUACCGCAUACGACCUACGGGUGAAAGCAGGGGAUCUUCGGACCUUUCGCGAUUGAAUGAGCCGGUGUCGGAUUAGCUAGUUGGCGGGGUAAAGGCCCACCAAGGCGACGAUCCGUAGCUGGUCUGAGAGGAUGAUCAGCCACACUGGAACUGAGACACGGUCCAGACUCCUACGGGAGGCAGCAGUGGGGAAUAUUGGACAAUGGGCGAAAGCCUGAUCCAGCCAUACCGCGUGAGUGAAGAAGGCCUUCGGGUUGUAAAGCCCUUUUGUUGGGAAAGAAAAUCAGCAGGUUAAUCCCCCGAUGUUCUGACGGUACCCAAAGAAUAAGCACCGGCUAACUUCGUG